Molecule: ribosomal RNA, 460 nt
Filed under: uncultured bacterium
Lineage: Bacteria
Description: partial 16S ribosomal RNA
Rfam family: Bacterial small subunit ribosomal RNA
Source: RNAcentral
CCUACGACAGGCUGCAGUGAGGAAUUUUGUUCAAUGGGCGCGAGCCUGAACCAGCCAAGUAGCUUGAAGGAUGACUGCCCUACGGUUUUUCAACUUCUUUUAUAAAGGAAUAAAGUGAGGCCCGUGUGCCUUUUUGUAUGUACUUUAUGAAUAAGGAUCGGCUAACUCCGUGCCAGCAGCCGCGGUAAUACGGAGGAUCCGAUCGUUAUCCGGAUUUAUUGGGUUUAAAGUGAGCGUAGAUGGGUUGUUAAGUCAGUUGUGAAAGUUUGCGGCUCAACCGUAAAAUUGCAAUUGAUACUGGCAGCCUUGAGUACAGUUGAGGUAGGCGGAAUUCGUGGUGUAGCGGUGAAAUGCUUAGAUAUCACGAAGAACUCCGAUUGCGAAGGCAGCUUACUAAACUGCCACUGACAUUGAUGCUCGAAAGUGUGGGUAUCAAACAGGAUUAGAUACCCCUGUAGUC